GACGAACGCUGGCGGCGCGCCUAACACAUGCAAGUCGAACGGAGCUGAGAGGAGCUUGCUUUUCUUAGCUUAGUGGCGAACGGGUGAGUAACGCGUGAGUAACCUGCCCUGGAGUGGGGGACAACAGUUGGAAACGACUGCUAAUACCGCAUAAGCCCACGGUGCUGCAUGGCACUGCGGGAAAAGGAUUUAUUCGCUUCAGGAUGGACUCGCGUCCAAUUAGCUAGUUGGUGAGGUAACGGCCCACCAAGGCGACGAUUGGUAGCCGGACUGAGAGGUUGAACGGCCACAUUGGGACUGAGACACGGCCAGACUCCUACGGGAGGCAGCAGUGGGGGAUAUUGCACAAUGGGGGAAACCCUGAUGCAGCGACGCCGCGUGGAGGAAGAAGGUUUUCGGAUUGUAAACUCCUGUCGUUAGGGACGAUAAUGACGGUACCUAACAAGAAAGCACCGGCUAACUACGUGCCAGCAGCCGCGGUAAAACGUAGGGUGCAAGCGUUGUCCGGAAUUACUGGGUGUAAAGGGAGCGCAGGCGGACCGGCAAGUUGGAAGUGAAAUCCAUGGGCUCAACCCGUGAAUUGCUUUCAAAACUGCUGGCCUUGAGUAGUGCAGAGGUAGGUGGAAUUCCCGGUGUAGCGGUGGAAUGCGUAGAUAUCGGGAGGAACACCAGUGGCGAAGGCGACCUACUGGGCACCAACUGACGCUGAGGCUCGAAAGCAUGGGUAGCAAACAGGAUUAGAUACCCUGGUAGUCCAUGCCGUAAACGAUGAUUACUAGGUGUUGGAGGAUUGACCCCUUCAGUGCCGCAGUUAACACAAUAAGUAAUCCACCUGGGGAGUACGACCGCAAGGUUGAAACUCAAAGGAAUUGACGGGGGCCCGCACAAGCAGUGGAGUAUGUGGUUUAAUUCGAAGCAACGCGAAGAACCUUACCAGGUCUUGACAUCCGAUGCAUAGUGCAGAGAUGCAUGAAGUCCUUCGGGACAUCGAGACAGGUGGUGCAUGGUUGUCGUCAGCUCGUGUCGUGAGAUGUUGGGUUAAGUCCCGCAACGAGCGCAACCCUUAUUGCCAGUUACUACGCAAGAGGACUCUGGCGAGACUGCCGUUGACAAAACGGAGGAAGGUGGGGAUGACGUCAAAUCAUCAUGCCCUUUAUGACCUGGGCUACACACGUACUACAAUGGCGUUUAACAAAGAGAAGCAAGACCGCGAGGUGGAGCAAAACUCAGAAACAACGUCUCAGUUCAGAUUGCAGGCUGCAACUCGCCUGCAUGAAGUCGGAAUUGCUAGUAAUCGCGGAUCAGCAUGCCGCGGUGAAUACGUUCCCGGGCCU
Molecule: ribosomal RNA, 1334 nt
Filed under: uncultured bacterium
Lineage: Bacteria
Description: bacterial SSU rRNA
Rfam family: Bacterial small subunit ribosomal RNA
Source: RNAcentral